UCCUGAAAAUGCUGAGCCAGACCCCCAGCCGGCCAGUUCCCAGGAAGGUUCAAGAAAUACACAGCAAUAAGUGAAUACCAGGCCCAUGUUUUUCUUUGCGUUAAACCUAAAACCCAGCUGAAAAGAGAAUCAGAGAGAGAAUAGAAGAUUGGCACAUGACAGAGCCUU
RNAcentral lists this long non-coding RNA (168 nucleotides) under Papio anubis (olive baboon). Its description in RNAcentral is "lncRNA (ENSPANG00000039122.1)". The record is from RNAcentral. Lineage: Eukaryota; Metazoa; Chordata; Mammalia; Primates; Cercopithecidae.